CCCGCAGGGCUCCGGGCGGCCGUGACCCUGCUGGAGUGCGGGGGGGACCUCCAGCCCCCCGGGGGGUCCCUGACGUUGCUGUGCCGCGCCUCUGGGUUCGAUUUCGGGAGUUUUGGAAUGUUCUGGAUCCGGCAGAAAUCUGGGAAGACGCUGGAAUACAUCGCCAGUAUCAGCAGCAGUGGUGGUUACACCCACUACGCGCCAUCAGUCAAGGGCCGGUUCACGAUCUCCAGGGACAACGGGCAGAGCUCGGUGACGCUGACCAUGAACAGCCUCAAGGACGAGGAUUCCGCCGUUUAUUUCUGCGCCAAACGUAACAAUAAUGGUUAUGGUUCUGAUGGUCCUGCUCGUAUUGACGACAAUUCCUGCAGUGGCCCCAGCCCCAUUGCAGUCCCAAGUGUCCACAAUGCCCAGGGAUCCUUCCCCGACUCCCAGCUCUGUUCCUCAAAUCUUCACCAGUUCCUUCCAAACUCCACCCCUGCUGUCCCAACUCUAGAAUUUCCCAAAAUUUUGCCCAUUUGA
This is a non-coding RNA of Melospiza melodia melodia, 522 nucleotides long. Lineage: Eukaryota; Metazoa; Chordata; Aves; Passeriformes; Passerellidae. The record is from the annotation of a RefSeq genome assembly.